AUUGAGUCCAUGGAGCGAGCUGAGAGCUAGAGUACAGAACCUGCUAAGGCCAUCAAACCUAUCGAUCGGAAGUCAGUCCAUCAGAUUUGCUCUGGGCCGGUGGUACUGAGUCUAAGCACUGCGGUGAAGGAGUUAGUAGAAAACAGUCUGGAUGCUGGUGCCACCAAUAUUGCGAUGUCACCAUUUCUACCUGCCACGCAUCGGCGAAGGUUGGGACUCGACUGGUGUUUGAUCACGAUGGGAAAAUCAUCCAGAAAACCCCCUACCCCCACCCCAGAGGGACCACAGUCAGCGUGAAGCAGUUAUUUUCUACACUACCUGUGCACCAUAAGGAAUUUCAAAGGAAUAUUAAGAAGACGUGCCUGUUUCCCCUUCGCCUUCUGCCGUGAUUGUCAGUUUCCUGAGGCCUCCCCAGCCAUGCUUCCUGUACAGCCUGCAGAACUACUGUCCCUGAAGUGUUGUCUACUGUUGUGGAGGCAAUCACUGUCAUUCCCAGGCACUGAGCCUCGAAACUGCAGAGUCAAAGGUGACCUCCUUUUCCCUGGCCGCUCACACCACCUCCAUCGAUUCUCCCUGGGCAGCACUUCUGCUGCCAGUGGCGUGACUUGGUCACGCAGGCCCUUCCUCUGGGCCACAGCCACUGUCUUCCAGCCAAUUGACCUUCUGAUUCCAGCUGUGGCUUCUCUCAACUUCCCACAGACGGCCUGAGACUGUGCCGACAGCAGAAUUGAUUCCUAUGAUCCUGAAUGUAAAGUCUGAGUAUCAAA
Homo sapiens (human) is the source of this 767-nucleotide long non-coding RNA. Ensembl annotates it as PMS1 homolog 2, mismatch repair system component pseudogene 4. Its record names the gene PMS2P4. NCBI's taxonomy places the organism in Eukaryota, Metazoa, Chordata, Mammalia, Primates, Hominidae. The record is from Ensembl.